CGAGGAUAUCAUCGGUUCAUCUCAAGGUGGACCCAAAAGCUUUGUCUUGUAAGGUAAGUUACAGCAUGCUCUUUUUCUAAUGGAGUUUUUUUAUUAUUUUUUUUUUCUUUCAUGUUCUUUUUAGCAAUUAUAAAAGAGUUUAUAAUAAAAUUAUGGUAUUAGCACAAUAUAGAAAAUUUUCUAAUACGGUUUAAAAAGGAAUUUUUAUUAGGUUGUAGAAUUGGUAAAAAAUUAGGAAAUAUAAAAAGUAUUAACAUUUUAU
This 262-nucleotide long non-coding RNA is filed under the name Vigna radiata. RNAcentral's name for it is "long non-coding RNA (VRAD_LNC000793)". Lineage: Eukaryota; Viridiplantae; Streptophyta; Magnoliopsida; Fabales; Fabaceae. The record is from RNAcentral.